RNAcentral lists this unclassified non-coding RNA (600 nucleotides) under Hevea brasiliensis (rubber tree). Lineage: Eukaryota; Viridiplantae; Streptophyta; Magnoliopsida; Malpighiales; Euphorbiaceae. The record is from RNAcentral.
GGUAUCAAGUAAAAAAUUGUAAAAGUAAUUAAAAGAGUGUAAAGGUAUACAAUGUUGUGAGAUAAGAGCGAAAUACGAGUUUGAUGGGUCGUCAAGUAAAGCAUGAGCAAGUAAUCUCCGGGCAGCAGAUAUGAGUGUCGGCGAUGAACGUUGAGUUCUCUUCGCCGGAAUUAAUCGAUCUUUAAAAACACCCAUUAAAGCUGAAAUCUUGAUAGAUGGGUCAGCGUGUAUGUAGAUAUUGUAUAGAUGUGGAUCUACAGGUUUAGUACCAUUGAAGAACUUCUCCCAAAUUGGGGAAAACUGUAAAUCUGAAUUUGUUAAGAACAUAAAUGCGAUUUUUGGUGGACGAACAGUAGCGGAUCCAAGACGGAGUUUUUUGUGAGAUGGGUGUUUUGGAAAAGUGGUUUCAGCAGCAAUUGCUUUGUGAAAGAGUGAUAGAUCGUCGAGUUCAUCAGGUACAGAAAUGGAGAUUUGUCGAGGUAAUAGGAUUUUUGGUCCUAAUAAGAAGAGAAUAAGAACAGAAAUGAGAAGAGUAAGAAAAGGGAUAACUACAGAUAAUCUGAACAUAUUUUCUUGUUACAGCAAAAUCACCAUUAAUGG